GAUGAACGCUGGCGGCGUGCCUAAUACAUGCAAGUCGAGCGAACAGAUGAGGAGCUUGCUCCUCUGACGUUAGCGGCGGACGGGUGAGUAACACGUGGAUAACCUACCUAUAAGACUGGGAUAACUUCGGGAAACCGGAGCUAAUACCGGAUAAUAUAUUGAACCGCAUGGUUCAAUAGUGAAAGACGGCUUUGCUGUCACUUAUAGAUGGAUCCGCGCCGCAUUAGCUAGUUGGUAAGGUAACGGCUUACCAAGGCAACGAUGCGUAGCCGACCUGAGAGGGUGAUCGGCCACACUGGAACUGAGACACGGUCCAGACUCCUACGGGAGGCAGCAGUAGGGAAUCUUCCGCAAUGGGCGAAAGCCUGACGGAGCAACGCCGCGUGAGUGAUGAAGGCCUUCGGAUCGUAAAACUCUGUUAUUAGGGAAGAACAAAUGUGUAAGUAACUAUGCACGUCUUGACGGUACCUAAUCAGAAAGCCACGGCUAACUACGUG
RNAcentral lists this ribosomal RNA (497 nucleotides) under uncultured bacterium. Its description in RNAcentral is "partial 16S ribosomal RNA". It matches the Rfam family "Bacterial small subunit ribosomal RNA", at positions 28 to 507 of the family's 1533-position model. The record is from RNAcentral.